Brassica oleracea var. oleracea is the source of this 612-nucleotide long non-coding RNA. RefSeq lists it as uncharacterized. The transcript is spliced from 2 exons. The record is from RefSeq and is a predicted model, not a curated record. Lineage: Eukaryota; Viridiplantae; Streptophyta; Magnoliopsida; Brassicales; Brassicaceae.
GUAUUGUGAAACAUCCUUUCAAUGAGAAGUUAUUGCUAGCUACAAGGAAGUUUGAAGAAACAUUAGCGAGGUUUGAACUCAUCUUCACUCUAAUUACAUGCAUUACAUAUGGUCAAAACUGCAUAUCUCCAGGAAAACUAUAAUUAUUUAUGUAAGAUAAAUUCUUGGACCCGUAUAAUGUUGUUUUUGUUAGUUAUCAAGAUUUCUCUAGCCUUCAGUUUUAAUGUCACUGUCUUGUUGUAAGUAAAAUUGAAAUUUGUUAUGUUUGAAGUAUUCAAUAUAGAAUCAAUCUCCCAGAAUGAAAAAUCUGAAUCUAUUUCUAUUUUCUACUACAACUUACGAGACAAACGCCUUACUUGGAAGUGAGUAGCCAAUAACCUAAUCACCCAACAUAAUUAUUAACUCUGACGCUAUUAGGCAACACAUUGUCUUUGCUUUGCUUUGGUACCAGUUGAUAAGAGUACCUUCUAGAGGCUUCCGUAAACUACAAAUUUGUAGAUUUGUUUUAAGUUGUUAGGAAGGUUAUGUUUACAUUAAAAAUAUCUAACGUAUAUGGUGACCACUUUCGUGUGUAUAUAUUAUUUCACAUUUAUGUUAAUUGAUUAGAAUUCA